AAUCUAAUCUAAAAGCUCUAAGUUGAAGCCAUUGCUUCAUACCUGAGCUACUUGGAUCAAGAUUAGCUUGCGGGGACCCUUUGUGUCGUUUGAUAUCUGUGAUCUCUAGCAUUGUUUGGUUGUUACUCAAGGACUACUAAGCAAUCUCAACUCGACAUGGUGAGCUGUUGCUUAGGAAGAUGAUCGUGACACUAGGGCGGACCUGUGCCUUAGAGACUUAAAAUAAAGAUAGAACUAGUUUAAUUAUGUUCUGAACUCUUUAUUUCCUGUUUUGAGACAAUGUAACACGCUUGUUUGAUA
This 300-nucleotide long non-coding RNA is filed under the name Helianthus annuus (common sunflower). RNAcentral describes it as "sRNA HanXRQr2_Chr09g0385801". The record is from RNAcentral. Lineage: Eukaryota; Viridiplantae; Streptophyta; Magnoliopsida; Asterales; Asteraceae.